Long non-coding RNA from Gallus gallus (chicken), 3036 nucleotides. The record is from Ensembl. Lineage: Eukaryota; Metazoa; Chordata; Aves; Galliformes; Phasianidae.
GGGGGGGGGGGGGGCGAAUGGGGGCGAAUGGUGGCGAAAUGGGUGGAAAAGGAUCCAAAAAAUGGUGGAAAAUGAUGGAAAAUGAUCCAAAUUGAUCCAAAAAUGGUGGGGAAAAUGGAGGAAAGUGAUGAAAAAUGGUGGAAAAUGAUGCAAAAUGAUCCAAAAUGGAGGAAAAUGAUCCAAAAUGAUCCAAAAAUGGUGGAAAAUAAUCCAAAAUGAUGCAAAUUGAUCCAAAAAUGGUGGCAAAAACGGAGGAAAAUGAUCAAAAAUGGAGGAAAAUGAUCCAAAAAAUGGUGGAAAAUGAUCAAAAAUGGAGGAAAAUGAUGGAAAAUGAUCCAAAUUGAUCCAAAAAUGGUGGCAAAAAUGGAGGAAAGUGAUGAAAAAUGGAGAAAAAUGAUCCAAAAUGAUUUAAAAAAUGGAGGAAAAUGAUCCAAAAAUGGAGGGAAAUGAUCAAAAAUGGAGGAAAAUGAUCCAAAUUGAUCCAAAAAUGGUGGCAAAAAUGGAGGAAAUGAUCUAAAAUGGAGGAAAAUGAUCCAAAAUGAUCCAAAUUGAUCCAAAAAUGGUGGGGAAAAUGGAGGAAAGUGAUGAAAAAUGGUGGAAAAUGAUCCAAAAUGAUGAAAAGUGGAGGAAAAAUUGGUAGAAAAUGAUCCAAAAUGAUCCAAAAUGGAGGAAAAUGAUCCAAAAAUGAUCGAAAAUGGUGGAAAAUGAUCCAAAUUGAUCAAAAAUGGGGGGAAAUGGUCCAAAAUGAUCCAAAUUGAUCCAAAAAUGGUGGGGAAAAUGGAGGAAAGUGAUGAAAAAUGGAGAAAAAUGAUCCAAAAUGAUGAAAAGUGGAGGAAAAAUUGGUGGAAAAUGAUCCAAAAUGAUCCAAAAUGGAGGAAAAUGAUCCAAAAAUGAUCGAAAAUGGUGGAAAAUGAUCCAAAUUGAUCAAAAAUGGGGGGAAAUGGUCCAAAAUGGUCCAAAUUGAUCCAAAAAUGGUGGGGAAAAUGGAGGAAAGUGAUGAAAAAUGGUGGAAAAUGAUCCAAAAUGAUGAAAAGUGGAGGAAAAAUUGGUGGAAAAUGAUCCAAAAUGAUCCAAAAUGGAGGGAAAUGAUCCAAAAAUGAUCGAAAAUGGUGGAAAAUGAUCCAAAUUGAUCAAAAAUGGGGGGAAAUGGUCCAAAAUGAUCCAAAUUGAUCCAAAAAUGGUGGCAAAAAUGGAGGAAAAUGAUCUAAAAUUGAGGAAAAUGAUCUAAAAUGGAGGAAAUGAUCCAAAAAUGGUGGGGAAAAUGGAGGAAAGUGAUGAAAAAUGGAGAAAAAUGAUCCAAAAUGAUUAAAAAAAUGGAGGAAAAUGAUCCAAAAAUGGUGGGAAAUGAUGAAAAAUGAUCCAAAUUAAUCAAAAAUUGGGGAAAAUGGUCCAAAAAUGGUGGCAAAAAUGGAGGAAAAUGAUCAAAAAUGGAGGAAAAUGAUCCAAAAUGAUCCAAAUUGAUCCAAAAAUGGUGGCAAAAAUGGAGGAAAAUGAUCUAAAAUGGAGGAAAAUGAUAAAAAAUGGAGGAAAAUUACCCAAAAUGAUCCAAAAAUGGAGGAAAAAAUGGAGGAAAAUGAUCAAAAUUGAUCAAAAAUGGGGGAAAAUGGUCCAAAAUGAUCACAAAAUGGAGGAAAAUGAUCAAAAAUGGAGGAAAAUGAUCCAAAAUGAUCCAAAAUGGAGGGAAAUUAUCCAAAAAUGGGGGAAAAUAAUGAAAAAUGAUCCAAAUUGAUGAAAAAUGGUGGAAAAUGAUCCAAAAUGAUCACAAAAUGGAGGAAAAUGAUCCAAAAUGAUCCAAAUUGAUCCAAAAAUGCGAUGAAAAAUGGAGGAAAAUGAUAAAAAAUGGAGGAAAAUUACCCAAAAUGAUCCAAAAAUGGAGGAAAAAAUGGAGGAAAAUGAUCAAAAUUGAUCAAAAAUGGGGGAAAAUGGUCCAAAAUGAUCACAAAAUGGAGGAAAAUUACCCCAAAUGAUCCAAAAAUGGUGAAAAAUGGUGGAAAAUGAUCAAAAAUGAUCCAAAAUGGAGGAAAAUGAUCCAAAAUGAUCACAAAAUGGAGGAAAAUUAUCAAAAAUGAUCAAAAAAUGGUGAAAAAUGGUGGAAAAUGAUCAAAAAUGAUCCAAAAUGGAGGAAAAUGGUCCAAAAUGAUCACAAAAUGGAGGAAAAUUACCCCAAAUGAUCCAAAAAUGGAGGAAAAAAUGGAGGAAAAUGAUCAAAAUUGAUCAAAAAUGGGGGAAAAUGGUCCAAAAUGAUCACAAAAUGGAGGAAAAUUACCCCAAAUGAUCCAAAAAUGGAGGAAAAAAUGGAGGAAAAUGAUCAAAAUUGAUCAAAAAUGGGGGAAAAUGGUCCAAAAUGAUCACAAAAUGGAGGAAAAUUACCCCAAAUGAUCCAAAAAUGGUGAAAAAUGGUGGAAAAUGAUCAAAAAUGAUCCAAAAUGGAGGAAAAUGAUCCAAAAUGAUCACAAAAUGGAGGAAAAUUAUCAAAAAUGAUCAAAAAAUGGUGAAAAAUGGAGGAAAAUGAUCAAAAAUGAUCAUAAAUGAUGGAAAAAUGGAAUAAAAAUUGACGGAAAAUGGUGAAAAAUGAGGAAAAAUGGUUGAAAAAAGGACCAAAAAAUGGGAAAAUGAGGGAAAAAUGGGGAAAAAUUUGAAUAAAAAUGAGGAAAAUUUGAAUGAAAAAUGGGGGAAAAAUGGGGAAAAUGGGAAAAAAAUGAGAAAAAAAUGAGAAAAAAUGGGGAAAAAAUGAAUAAAAAUGAGGAAAAUGAGGAAAAAAAUGAAUAAAAAUGAGGGAAAAUGAGGGAAAAAUGGGUCAAAAAAUGAGGAAAAAAAGAAUAAUAAAUGGUUCAAAAAUUAGGAAAAAUUGAAUAAAAAUGAGGAAAAAUUGAAUGAAAAUUGGGAAAAAAUCGGGAAAAAAUUGGGAAAAAUGAGUAAAAAAUGUGAAAAAAAUGAGAGAAAAUGAGGAAAAAAUGAGUAAAAAUGAGGGAAAGUGAGGAAAAAUGGGUGAAAAAAUGAGGAAAAAAUUGACUGAAAAAUGGUUCAAAAAUGGGG